AGUUCUAGGGAAGCUGAAACAUGUUAAUUGACAGCAAAGAUGUCUUCAGAAUCAUCAUUUAUCCCCAAGCACAAAUUAAAAACAAAAUUUCUGAGGUCAUGGAAGAAAGAAGAUAUGCACCACAUUAUCACCAGAUCCUGUCUAAAAGUUGUCCCCAUCCUGAUGGAUUGAUCGAGACUUUGGAUUCUGGCAGUCUUUGAAACUCACACUGCAUGACAUGUGCAAAGUCCUCCUUCAGUCGAAGGAUGAUUCUUCAAAGGGUGAUCCCUCAAAGACACUAAGAAGGCAGCUGACCCCCAGAAGGCCCUUUUGGAUUGCAGAAUUCCAGGCGCUCGCACCUCUGAAUACAGCACUGAAGACAGCUUGGCUGCCUCCCCGCCUCCUCUGUCCUGGUACAGCUGCAGAGGGGCUGACUUUGGCAGCCAUAGAUCACUGAGGCUUUGUCUCAGCUUCUCUCAGAACAGCUUUUCAUCAGGAGAUUCACAACAUCUCUCAAAACACAUGUAGGAAGAAGAAGUAAAGCAAACACCAAUGGUUUCUUUCAAGAAAGAGACUACUUGGAAUCUUUGGGUUUUGGUUUAUGAUUACAGUGUGUGGAACGGAUCAUUUCUGGUUUAUGAGCAGCUUGAUGUGCUAGAAAGAGCUGUGAAUUUGGACUUGGAGCAAUUAGGAUUCUGGUUCCAGCUUUUUUCCAGCUACAGCUCGCGAGUAACUUAGUUUAGCUUCUUUGACCUUGGUUUCCUCAUCUGUAAAAUGAGAGGGUUUGCUCAGAUGAUCUUUGACCUAAUGAGUCUACGAAAAGUGAAUGUUGGAAGCACAUGUUCACCUUCUCCAAUUACCAGCUGUGAUUAUGUGACUGGACCAAAUGGCACUAACUGUCGAAACCUUUUAGGCUGAAGGGGAAGCACUAACUGUUGAAACCUUUUAGGCUGAAGGGGAAGCAUUCUGAAAUAGGACAAGGGGCACCUCGUGUUGAAACCUGGAGCUGGUCAACCCUCUGAGGCCAAUGCCGACCUUUGCAUCUGCCUCCCACGCCCUGCUUGUUUUAGCUGGACCAGGAGAAACUAAUGUCAAGACAAAAAAAAAAAAAACCUGAAAUCCAUAACAUUUUGAUAGGUAGCUUUAUGAACAGUUACAAAUCAGAUGUUUGCCCCCCAAAUUUUAACUUUAUUCUCUGAAACAGAUCUAAAAUUCCUAUCUACCUCACAGUUUCACAGAUAACCCAGUCUCUUCCAGUUUAUAACUGCCUCUUUGGGCCUAUUUCUUUUAAUGCUGUUUGAGACCUGUUAAUGGUUGUAGCCUGGUCAGAAAAAGGACUCCUGGAUCCUCCUGGAAGCUUCGUGAUUUGUUACUGCUAAUUCACGUUUACCCACAAUGAGCAUCCAUACAUGGGUUCUGAAGAUUAAAGUCAUCCUUGAGAAGGGAGAGUGGAAUGCCAAAACUUUUCUUGGAUUCCAGAGCUCUGGUUCAUGUCUGCAACAUGGAUGCAAUGAUAUAACCUUAUUUUAUGUAUCAUCCAUUCACCUGUUGAUCAAAGACUGUAUUCAAGAUGGCAGGCACGGUGAAGUCAAUGAUAACUCUAGUUUAUUGAGAAACUACUCGGCAUCAUACAUUAUCUUAAUUAAUCCUCUUUACAAUCCCAGAAAGUGUUCCUUAUCCUUUAUCUUCAAGUACCCUAAGGUGCAAAGCACAGAAGGAGGGGUGGUUUAGAAAGACUGGGCUCGGCCGGGCGCAGUGGCUCACGCCUGUAAUCCCAGCACUUUGGGAGGCCGAGGUAGGCGAAUCACCUGAGGACCGGAGUUCAAGACCAGCCUAACCAACAUGGAGAAAUCCCGUCUCUACUAAAAAUACAAAAUUAGCCGGGUGUGGUGGCGCAUGCCUGUAAUCCCAUCUACUCUGGAGGCUGAGGCAGGAGAAUGGCUUGAACCUGGGAGGCAGAGGUUGCUGUGAGCCGAGAUCACGCCAUCGCACUCCAGCCUAGGCAACAAGAGCGAAACUCCAUCUC
This 2005-nucleotide long non-coding RNA is filed under the name Homo sapiens (human). RNAcentral describes it as "HSALNT0326677". The record is from RNAcentral. Lineage: Eukaryota; Metazoa; Chordata; Mammalia; Primates; Hominidae.